This 77-nucleotide transfer RNA is filed under the name Sphaerodactylus townsendi. RNAcentral describes it as "tRNA-Cys". It matches the Rfam family "tRNA". Rfam says of the family: Transfer RNA (tRNA) molecules are approximately 80 nucleotides in length. Lineage: Eukaryota; Metazoa; Chordata; Lepidosauria; Squamata; Sphaerodactylidae. The record is from RNAcentral.
GGAUGAGACUAUGGCUCAAUGGUAGGGCAUUUGCUUUGCAAUACAGAUUGUCCCAGGUUCAAUCUCUGGCAAAUUCA